ACUCAUUUCCCCUCAACCAAAUUCUCUCCAUAAGCCUCCACUAUUAUUGUUGUCGCUAUCUCUCCCAUCGUUGCUGAUGUCUCCACCACCUUUGAUGUUGUCUCAACGCUGGAGCAUCAAGCCUCUCGUUGGUGUUGUGCACCUUCUCUUAAAGGAGCUACAAAAGUUUGUGAGUGCUAAAAUUAUUACUUUUGUGAAGCUACACACACAUACAAGAAAUAUUUUUUUAGCCUUACAUCAUUUUCUGCAUAUAGGAUUAUUCAAGCUAUUAUUGUUACUUUUGAUGCAGAACAUAAUAAUCAUUUUUUCUAGAGAAGUGGUAGCUCAUUUAAGAGAAGGUUGCACAAUACCAAUAAGAUGCUCGAUGCUCCAGCGUGGAGACAUCGAAAACUACAGCUAAAACAUUGGCUAGGAGUAGUGGAUUCAGCAACAGCAGCGGUGGAGACAAUAACACCUGCAUCAAUGGAGGCUUAUAAAGGUUUUGACUUUUGUAGAGAAUUUGGUUGGGGAGAGAUGAGUGAAAUAGGUGUUUUUUGAGGGUGUGGGAAGAACAAUUUUUUUGUUUAUUUACGAAAAUAGUCUGGCAAAAAACUUAAGUUAUGCUUACUUAAGAAGGGAAUUUGUGACCAACUUUUUGGUUACACAAUGUUAACAUGCUCCUUAAUAAAAAGGGGAAACAUGCAUAAGCCUUCACUGAUGUAGUUGUGGCUGUCUCCCCCACCCCUACCGUUGUCUCUACCAUCGCUGUCAUUGUCUCAGCCGUCGUUGCUGAUGUCUCCAGGUUAGAGCAUCGAGCAUCCCAUUGGUGUUGUGUCACCUUCUUUUAAAGGAGCUACACAAGUUUAUGAGUACUUAAAUUGUUACUUUUGUGAGGCUACAAAGACAUACAAGAAUCAUAUGUUUAGCAUUGCCCGUUUGUAAACGUGUAUUUUUAACUAUUCAUUUAUCAAACCCGUGAGUACUUAAAAUGGGUACCCACGGGUUUGAUAAAUGAGUAGUUAAAAAUACACGUUUACAAACGGGUAAGCACGGGUUUUAUAGUACCCGUGCGUGUGAGUACCGUAAUUUUUAUCCUUAUUUUUUAUAUAUUUAUUCUACAUUACCUUCUUAUCCUAAUUUGAUAACUCUUUUUCCUUAUUCACUUUACUUCUUCUCUUCUUUAUUCCUCAUUCAUUUUCCAAACACCCACUACAAGAAUCACAUUUACUUCCAAUUUCUAUCCUCAUUUCCUCACCUAUAUCUCUUCCCUUAGAUUCAAUUUCAUUCAACGCUUUCAAUCAAGUCAUAUUUGUUCCACAUUUUUCUGAUCUUUACUUCCAAUUUUUAGUUAUGUGAUCUUUAGACUUUAAUUGUACUUUAAUUCCAUGCAGAUCCAACAUGUUUUCAAUUCGAUUUUAGCUGAAUCUCGGGUUGAACGAUUUUCUUUAUAUUUGAUUUGAAUCUAUUUAGUUUUGUGUAUUUCUGAAGUGUUAUCACUGUUGUGUUCUUGUUGGAUCAUUUGGAAAUGUGAGUUAUGAUAGAUUUUUUUUUUAUUGGCAAUUGUUAGUAUGUUAGUAUUUUGUGGUGGGUAGGAAUUG
Molecule: long non-coding RNA, 1577 nt
Filed under: Lupinus mutabilis
Lineage: Eukaryota; Viridiplantae; Streptophyta; Magnoliopsida; Fabales; Fabaceae
Description: partial ncRNA
Source: RNAcentral